UGUUUUUUUUGUUUGACAAACUUCAGAUAUAUUUUAUUCCAAAGUUUUUGGACCACAUUAGUUGUAAACAAGCACUAUUAAGUGAUAUGUUGUUCACACUAAACAUUUUGGAAAAUUUAGGGAAAUAUCUGCACUCUUAUUUCAUUUCUUAUUUUGAAAUAAGGCUUGGAAAAAAAUUCCUCUAACUCUACUUUUUUGUUUUAUAACAAAUAAAAAUAAAUUACUUUGAAAUAGAAUAAAUAUCUUGUUCUUAUUUAUUACUACAUUUUUAAUUUAAAAAUAAGAAUGAAACUGAAUUACAUUGUGUAAUUAUUUAUUUUAAAAGUAAUAUAUUGAAAAUGCUCUAACUCGUCACUAAAAAUAUAUAUUAUUUUGUAUUCAAAAUCAUAUGUACAUAUAUGACGAUGUUAUAUGUAUUGACAAUAUAUAAAAUAUAAUUCAGUAUUGUAAUGUAUAUACCAAUGAGAUAUCAAUGUAAAAUAAUGAUAAAUUUUAUAAAGGGUUUGCCUUUUAAUUUGAUUAGCAAAAGAGAAGGUGACAUCGAAAACAUCAAGUAGUAAGUCGGCAUCUUAGUAGAUAGCCAUUCACGUGGUUGGAAAAUCGAACAAUCUUUAUCAAUAAUUCAUGAGAGAAGAUUUGAGUAUUUUUCUUUUUCCCUCUUUGUUUUUAUAGCAUUCUCUUUCUAACCAUUUGGCUAUAAAAAGGCCCGACAGGUCUCAGUUUCUUCCCACAUCCAAAGAUAGAGAGAUGUAAGGUAUAUAUAGUCUUAAAUCCCUGAUAGAACAAUGAUAUAUAACUAUAUGAUUCUUAAAGUUAUAUUAGUUAUACAUAUAUAUGUAUAUAUUAGACAUAUGUGUGUGCAUAUGAAAGUAGAUUUGUCAGUUGAAUUGAUUGUUCUCGACAAGCCAAGGUUUUUGAGUCUGGUCACAUGCUCUCUCUUCCAUCGAAGGUAAGAGGAGGUGACAGAAGAGAGUGAGCACACAUGGUGGCUUUCUUGCAUGCUUUUUUCAAAAUUAGGGUUUCAUGCUUGAAGCUAUGUGUGCUUACUCUCUCUCUGUCACCCCUUCUCUCUCUUUUCUUUUGAAAAUGGUUAAUUUUGUUUGGUAAAAGAUCUAUAUUUGGUUUGAUUAUUUUAAGGUUCUAUGCUUAGUUAUACUAACAUCAAAUGGAUAAAAGUAAUUUGAGGUAUCUAAGCGUAGAUAGCUCUUGUGGAAGGUUUAAUUCUGCUCCUAAGCAGCAAGCCUGGAACUUUGUCAGGGAACUGGAUUAUCAGUAACUGGUUCCUGACCAAACGACUGUGCAAAAGGUCGAAAUUUUUUGAUUAACAAAAAGCUGGACUUGAACAAAUGCCUCUGCUCGAUUUAUGCGGCCAAUCAAGUCUGACACACACUCUCACCUGAUAAAAAGAAAGAAAGAGAGGACUGUGGAAACUGUGAGAACCUUGUGUGACGAUCGGGAAUGUCGUGCUGCGAGUUUGUAUUUCAUUUUUUAUAGACAAUAUAGAUUAGUUAGCUAGUUAUAUUAAUGGGGAUAGUUUAUCGCUUGUAA
Molecule: long non-coding RNA, 1548 nt
Organism: Brassica napus (rape)
Lineage: Eukaryota; Viridiplantae; Streptophyta; Magnoliopsida; Brassicales; Brassicaceae
Exons: 2
Source: RefSeq, a predicted model, not a curated record